GACGAACGCUGGCGGCGUGCUUAACACAUGCAAGUCGAACGGAAAGACCCCUUUGGGGGUACUCGGGUGGCGACCGGGGGCGUAACACGUGCGUAACCUGCACCUGACUUCGGGAUUAGUUCAGGAAACUGGGGCUAAUACCGGAUCGGAAUCAUUGAUGCAUGGGGGGGGUUGGAAAGUUUCGGCGGGUUUGGGUGGGCUCGCGGCGUAUCUGCUUGUUGGUGGAGUAGUGGGUUACCAAGGCGUUGGCGCGUAGCCGGCCUGAGAGGGCGACCGGCCACAUUGGGACUGAGAGGCGGCCCAGACACCGACGGGAGGCAGCAGUGGGGAAUAUUGAACAAUGGGCGGAAGCCUGAUGCAGCAACGCCGCGGGCGGGAUGACGGCCUUCUGGUUGAAAACCGCUUGCAUCAGGGGCGAAGCUUGUGGUGACGGUACCUGCAGAAGAAGCACCGGCUAACUACGUG
Molecule: ribosomal RNA, 465 nt
Filed under: uncultured bacterium
Lineage: Bacteria
Description: partial 16S ribosomal RNA
Rfam family: Bacterial small subunit ribosomal RNA
Source: RNAcentral